RNAcentral lists this ribosomal RNA (897 nucleotides) under uncultured archaeon. Its description in RNAcentral is "bacterial SSU rRNA". It matches the Rfam family "Archaeal small subunit ribosomal RNA", at positions 21 to 902 of the family's 1478-position model. The record is from RNAcentral.
CCCGACUGCUAUUUGGGGGAGGAUAAGCCAUGCGAGUCAGAAUGGGAUACCUAAAUUUCCCAUGGGCAGACUGCUCAAUAACACAUGAUCAACUUACCCUAUGGAGAAAUAUAACCUCGGGAAACUGAGGAUAAUGCUUCAUAGUUGAAUAGGCUUGGAAAAGUUUUUCAAUGAAAGGGAUAAGAAAAAUGGUUCUUAUCUGCCAUAGGAUAGGAUCGUGCUCGAUUAUGGUUGUUGGUGAGGUAACGGCUCACCAAGCCGAUAAUCGAUAGGGGCCGUGAGAGCGGGAGCCCCAAGAUGGGUACUGAGACAGCGACCCAGGCCUUACGAGGCGCAGCAGGUACGAAACCUCCGCAAUACACGAAAGUGUGACGGGGUUACCCAAAGUGUUCUUAUAGAACUGUGGCUGGUGAGUAAUGUCCCCUGCUAGAAAGGAGAGGGCAAGGCUGGUGCCAGCCGCCGCGGUAAAACCAGCUCUUCAAGUGGUCGGGAUAAUUAUUGGGCUUAAAGUGUCCGUAGCCGGUUUAGUAAGUUCCUGGUAAAAUCAGGUAGCCUAACUAUCUGCAUGCUAGGAAUACUGCUAUACUAGAGGGCGGGAGAGGUCUGAGGUACUACAGGGGUAGGGGUGAAAUCUUAUAAUCCUUGUAGGACCACCAGUGGCGAAGGCGUCAGACUGGAACGUGCCUGACGGUGAGGGACGAAAGCCAGGGGAGCGAACCGGAUUAGAUACCCGGGUAGUCCUGGCCGUAAACGAUGCAUACUAGGUGAUGGCAUGGCCAUGAGCCAUGUCAGUGCCGUAGGGAAACCGUUAAGUGUGCCGCCUGGGAAGUACGGUCGCAAGGCUAAAACUUAAAGGAAUUGGCGGGGGAGCACCACCAAGGGGUGAAGCCUGUGGUU